This 64-nucleotide transfer RNA is filed under the name Metacrinia nichollsi (Nicholl's toadlet). RNAcentral's name for it is "partial tRNA-Gln". The record is from RNAcentral. Lineage: Eukaryota; Metazoa; Chordata; Amphibia; Anura; Myobatrachidae.
GACAGGAGUCGAACCUGAGUCUGGGGGAUCAAAACCCCCCGUAAUCCCAUUUCACUACUCUCUA